AUACGGAGGGGGCAAGCGUUGUUCGGAAUUACUGGGCGUAAAGGGCGCGUAGGCGGAUUGGUUAGUCAGAUGUGAAAUCCCCGAGCUUAACUUGGGAACUGCAUUUGAUACUGCUGAUCUAGAGACCGGGAGAGGAUAGUGGAAUUCCCAGUGUAGAGGUGAAAUUCGUAGAUAUUGGGAAGAACACCAGUGGCGAAGGCGGCUAUCUGGACCGGUACUGACGCUGAGGCGCGAAAGCGUGGGGAGCAAACAGGAUUAGAAACCCCAGUAGUCC
RNAcentral lists this ribosomal RNA (274 nucleotides) under uncultured bacterium. Its description in RNAcentral is "partial 16S ribosomal RNA". It matches the Rfam family "Bacterial small subunit ribosomal RNA", at positions 523 to 796 of the family's 1533-position model. The record is from RNAcentral.